This 1369-nucleotide ribosomal RNA is filed under the name uncultured bacterium. RNAcentral's name for it is "bacterial SSU rRNA". It matches the Rfam family "Bacterial small subunit ribosomal RNA", at positions 28 to 1381 of the family's 1533-position model. The record is from RNAcentral.
GACGAACGCCGGCGGCGUGCCUAAUACAUGCAAGUAGAACGCUGAAGAGAGGAGCUUGCUCUUCUUGGAUGAGUUGCGAACGGGUGAGUAACGCGUAGGUAACCUGCCUUGUAGCGGGGGAUAACUAUUGGAAACGAUAGCUAAUACCGCAUAACAAUGGAUGACACAUGUCAUUUAUUUGAAAGGGGCAAUUGCUCCACUACAAGAUGGACCUGCGUUGUAUUAGCUAGUAGGUGAGGUAACGGCUCACCUAGGCGACGAUACAUAGCCGACCUGAGAGGGUGAUCGGCCACACUGGGACUGAGACACGGCCCAGACUCCUACGGGAGGCAGCAGUAGGGAAUCUUCGGCAAUGGGGGCAACCCUGACCGAGCAACGCCGCGUGAGUGAAGAAGGUUUUCGGAUCGUAAAGCUCUGUUGUAAGUCAAGAACGAGUGUGAGAGUGGAAAGUUCACACUGUGACGGUAGCUUACCAGAAAGGGACGGCUAACUACGUGCCAGCAGCCGCGGUAAUACGUAGGUCCCGAGCGUUGUCCGGAUUUAUUGGGCGUAAAGCGAGCGCAGGCGGUUUGAUAAGUCUGAAGUUAAAGGCUGUGGCUCAACCAUAGUUCGCUUUGGAAACUGUCAAACUUGAGUGCAGAAGGGGAGAGUGGAAUUCCAUGUGUAGCGGUGAAAUGCGUAGAUAUAUGGAGGAACACCGGUGGCGAAAGCGGCUCUCUGGUCUGUAACUGACGCUGAGGCUCGAAAGCGUGGGGAGCGAACAGGAUUAGAUACCCUGGUAGUCCACGCCGUAAACGAUGAGUGCUAGGUGUUGGAUCCUUUCCGGGAUUCAGUGCCGCAGCUAACGCAUUAAGCACUCCGCCUGGGGAGUACGACCGCAAGGUUGAAACUCAAAGGAAUUGACGGGGGCCCGCACAAGCGGUGGAGCAUGUGGUUUAAUUCGAAGCAACGCGAAGAACCUUACCAGGUCUUGACAUCCCGAUGCUAUUUCUAGAGAUAGAAAGUUACUUCGGUACAUCGGUGACAGGUGGUGCAUGGUUGUCGUCAGCUCGUGUCGUGAGAUGUUGGGUUAAGUCCCGCAACGAGCGCAACCCCUAUUGUUAGUUGCCAUCAUUCAGUUGGGCACUCUAGCGAGACUGCCGGUAAUAAACCGGAGGAAGGUGGGGAUGACGUCAAAUCAUCAUGCCCCUUAUGACCUGGGCUACACACGUGCUACAAUGGUUGGUACAACGAGUUGCGAGUCGGUGACGGCAAGCUAAUCUCUUAAAGCCAAUCUCAGUUCGGAUUGUAGGCUGCAACUCGCCUACAUGAAGUCGGAAUCGCUAGUAAUCGCGGAUCAGCACGCCGCGGUGAAUACGUUCCCGGGCCU